AAUAUAGCCAGAAUACAUCCUUCAAUCAAAAUGAUCUAAUUAUGUAGAGUCUAGUUUUAGCUUUACAUCAUUCCUAUACAUUUCGGAGCAUGCCAGUACAUUCCUUCCUCAGUAUCCUCCAUGUGUAGGUUUAGUCUCAUUUCCAUGCAUCGUGUAGAUUUUAGUUGACAACCAUCUCUUCAGUACAAGACCUGAAUGUACCAUCAUGGCUGCAACCAUUCAGGUGCUCUGAAGAUCAUCCACUGCACACGACUUCAUAAUGGAGACAUUUUCAAUAUUCAGAAAGCAGGGUAUAUCUUUUUUUUUUUUUUUUUUUACCAAAAAAAAGUUUCUGAACUUCAAUCAGGGCAAAAUGCUUUAGGGACUUCAGGAGCAGUGAGGAUCUACAAUAUUUUUCAGCUUCCAUUGGAACAUUUUUCCCGGCAAGCUUUUAGAAAAUAUGCUGAGGUCUGAAAAUUCAGCCAGGGAACAAGCGCCUGAACUACAAGCCUUAGGAAACCUGCACUUAAAAACCACUGUGUAAACCUCUUCCCAUGAGCUGUCCCUGAUACAGAGCACUGAUCCUAUCGUACCUUCCUCUCCUGAGCGGCUUUUCUUGAUUAAAUGCUGCACCUCUGCUUUCAUCUCGAAACCAGGCGUCUGACUGAUGGGCGAGCGAGUUGCAGAGAUGGAUAGAACUUUCAAGAGGACAGAUAUGGACAUUGCCAUUCCUCUGUGCAUGUGUUUACACUUGAUAAACUGCCCCAAUGUCUUUAAAACCUAAUCUGGAUCACAUCAUGUUCUGUUGCUCUCGUCCCAAAGGAAUGCAAUAGUCACUGGGUGUGAUGCUUCAACUCCAAUCCCCAGUGCUAACCGCUUCAUGGACACUAUUUAAAUCAAUAGUAGUGUUUAUGCAUUUAUGCAAGAAAAUGGCAUUAAAGUAUGUUUUGUAACACCGUCUGUAUGCUUCAUGGCAUCUUGUUUGUAAAUAGUGUGCUGAGGAACUGCUUAGAAACAGAUUUGCCAAUGCGUCAAAUUAUUUGUGAUUUUCUCCGGUUUGAUUUGUACUCAAAUUUUUACUUUUGCUCGAUUAGCCACGUACUUACCUCCACAAACGUGAGAUUUCACUCUUAUACCAAAAUGUUUUAAUAACCGUACUGUAGCUUAGCGGUGUUCUGUGAGCGGACCUUACAAACUGAGCGACGCUGAUGUUAUGUCUCCCUUGAAUUUCUGAAAGCUGUUUUUUUUUUUUUAUUAUUAUUUUUCUACCUGAUGAGCAAAGCAAACUUUUGCAUCUAGGUUAUGAGAGACUGACCAGGCUGAAUAAAACUGUUUGUAUCAUCA
This is a long non-coding RNA of Silurus meridionalis, 1323 nucleotides long. RefSeq lists it as uncharacterized. The transcript is spliced from 2 exons. Lineage: Eukaryota; Metazoa; Chordata; Actinopteri; Siluriformes; Siluridae. The record is from RefSeq and is a predicted model, not a curated record.